GAAUGGGGAAGAGAUAUUAAAGCAAUCUCAAAAGAUGAAGCAGUGAUGUUGGGGAAUCAUCCGGCUACAGCAGAUGUGUGCGCACUGAUGAUGUGCCUCCAGGACGAAGGACUGGGUGCUGCUCAGAUGAUGUGGUUGAUGGAUCAUAUUUUUAAGAACACAAACUUUGGAAUUGUUUCUUUAGUUCACGGAGACUUUUUUAUAAGACAGGGAAGAUGUUAUCGUGACCAACAGCUGCUGCUUCUCAAGAAGCACUUAGAAAGUAAUUACAGGAGCAGAGAUUGAAAAUGAAUUAUUUCGUUUCCAGAAAGGGGCUUCCUCAGGAAGAGGUGAGAAACAAGUCAGGCAUUUGCAGAGAAAAAUAACUUGCCAUUUCUUACACAUGUUACUCUGUAAAGAUCUGUGGCAACUAAAAUUAUUCUGAAUGCACUUGUAGCACAACAGGGAAAUGGAAGUCCAGCAAGAGGAGAUGCUAAAGAAUUAGCAAAUCAAAAGGCCUCCAGUGGGUAAUAGAUACAACGAUAGCUUAUCCUAAAGCUGAACCUAUCAAUAUUCAAACCUGGAUCCUUGGGUUCAGGAAACCAACAGUCACACAUGUACAUUACAGGAUCUUUCCAGUUAAAGAUGUAUCUCUGGAGACUGGUGACCUUACCAAUGGGAUCUAUCUAUGGUUUACUGAAAAAGAGGACCUCUUAUCACAUUUUUAUGAAACAGGAGCUUUUCCACCUUCCAAGGGCCAUAAGGAAGCUGUUUCCAGGGAAAUGACCCUCAGAAACAUGUGGAUAUUCCUCACACAGUCUUUUGCAUUUUUGUCAGUCUAUAUGUGGUACAACAUCAUUCAGUAUUUUUACCAUUGCCUGUUU
RNAcentral lists this long non-coding RNA (863 nucleotides) under Homo sapiens (human). RNAcentral describes it as "non-protein coding lnc-PURG-2:1". The record is from RNAcentral. Lineage: Eukaryota; Metazoa; Chordata; Mammalia; Primates; Hominidae.